GACAUCCAUACAGAUAGAAUCAUUUCUAUAGUAAACGUCCACAUCUGUGUUCUCCAAAAGAGCCACAGACUCCAACUCGGCUGAUGAGCCGAUCCACACUGCUCAAGAGUGAUGCCGCGGGUAGCUCGCUUGGCUUUGCGCCCCGAGCUGGCGAUGAUCUCGUCCCAGUAGAGCGUCUGGCUUCGGCCGGUUCUUCUGGGUGGGUAGUGCUGGACGUCUGACGAGU
This 226-nucleotide small nucleolar RNA is filed under the name Acidomyces richmondensis BFW. RNAcentral describes it as "Fungal small nucleolar RNA U3". It matches the Rfam family "Fungal small nucleolar RNA U3". Rfam says of the family: Small nucleolar RNAs (snoRNAs) are involved in the processing and modification of rRNA in the nucleolus. Lineage: Eukaryota; Fungi; Ascomycota; Dothideomycetes; Mycosphaerellales; Teratosphaeriaceae. The record is from Rfam by way of RNAcentral.